This 1120-nucleotide long non-coding RNA is filed under the name Neogobius melanostomus (round goby). RNAcentral's name for it is "lncRNA (ENSNMLG00000000936.1)". The record is from RNAcentral. Lineage: Eukaryota; Metazoa; Chordata; Actinopteri; Gobiiformes; Gobiidae.
ACCACCCACACUCUCACCGACAGCAGCCUGGAGACAGAGAAGAUCCUCCUGACGGAACCAGUGCCUGAACUGGGCCAAACCGAGUACCAGCUGCUCAAGCUCUUCGUUCUGCUUGUGUUUGUCCUGGUGCUGUCGUCCUGUUACUUGGCCUUCAGAGUGUGUCGACUGGAGCAGCAGCUCAGCUUCCUCAGCAGCCAGUCCCCGCUCCGAGAGAGGUGCGGAGAGGUGCCGUGCUGGCUGACCAAUCAGAAACAGGAACCUGACGUGGGAGCCAAUCACAGCUGAUAUCCUCACCUGACUUCCUGUAGACUUCCUGUUUGAGAGCGGCGUUAUUUGGAGACUUCGCUUUUACCGUAAACACGUCUGCGGCUCCUGCCCGAUCCCCUUACUCAGUAGUGCACAGCGUGUGGGGGGGAGAAAAACGUUUUGCAGCUAUUUUGACUGAGAAAAUAGUACGUUUUAGAUCUUUACCAGCAACAACUAACAACUUAUUCACUGGAUCUGGGUCUUAUUUUGAAAAACAGCUCGCAAAAUCCCGUUUUAAGGGCAUUAGUACAGAUGCAGUACAGAAACCAGCACAGAACUAGCAAUAAACCAUUUCAGACUUUCAAAAUAAGAGCUCAGAAUCCCUAUUUAUUAUGUAUUAGAUGUAAUUUAUAAGGAAAUGUUGCAAUGUUUAAAAAAAAUAGAUUUGUAAAGAUUGUUACUCAAAAACGUCGUGGCCUUCAGGAAUUUCGAGACGAACGUUGAUGUUAUUUGCAAAUACUGUGCGAUUUGUAGCAGGAUUUUAUUUUUGAGGCUGAAAUCUUUAGCAGGUAAAUUUGCUGAAAUGUAAAUAGAGCGACUUGAAAGUAAGUGUUACUAAGAUUUAUAUUUAUUUGUGGAGUUUUUCAAGAGUCGGGGUGUAACGUCCAUUUGUCCUCAGAGGCCUGAACGUGGAGCCGGGAAAUCUGUCCUCAUUCCUCUGUUUUAUAUGGCAUUUGCAUAUCUUUAGAAUCAAACAAGCACGUGUGGCAUUAGAAUAUAGUAUUUAGGUAUUCAAAUGGCGCUAAAAAGCAUUACAUUUGACUUGCUGCUAUUGUGCGUAAACCUUUUUCUAAAGCAGGGCGAUGCCGUGCUG